Molecule: long non-coding RNA, 956 nt
Organism: Perca fluviatilis (European perch)
Lineage: Eukaryota; Metazoa; Chordata; Actinopteri; Perciformes; Percidae
Exons: 4
Source: RefSeq, a predicted model, not a curated record
UAAGAUUAUGUACCCAGUAUGCUUUUUACAUUAUUUUUUUUUUUAUUAAAUAAGAACACAAAUUAAAUUAACCUGCAUUUGUGUACAGAGCUGCUCCUAAAUGGAGCCAGCAUGGGCAGACAUCGACACCUUGAGGGAAGAGAUUGCCAGGAGACUGAUGGUUGAUUCUGAAAACCUCAAUGAACUCUGCCACUGUUGCGGGGAAAUAAACACUGGGGAAAGUGACACCUUAGAGGCACCUAUGGACCAUUGGAAUGUCCCAAUGUGGAUGAGGACUUUUGGUGUCCUGCAUGCACAUCACCAACACAAAUGUUCAUGACCUGACACUGUGGAGUCCUUCAACUUCAUUAAUAACAUCACCCCGGACAUCAAGUGGCAAAAGGACAUCAAAAGCUUCAGCAGAGGAUGUAGGCCUACUUCCGACUGCAAUUCAAGCCAGCUACAAGUUGUGGGUGCAGGGGUUUUCUGCUUGGGCCGGCACAAAAAUGUCAGACCUGAAGCUCUAUUUGGCCUGUGAGAGGUACCAGUCCCGAGCCAUCACAGUGCAGCCAUCACCGUCCUCCAGAAAUAUUUUAUUUCUCUUAAAGCCUCAGACGUAUAGGCCCCUCUCUCGCUCCUGCAGCAUCCAACUCAGCAGCAGCACAGAAGAGGGUUGGUCUCUCUGCCCUGGUGGAUGAGCCCUCCAGAAGCCAUGGAGAAGACGGCAGAGACAGCCCGCUGCGACCUGGAGCAGACUAAGUGCAGGAGUUGAUGCAGCCAGUCUUCCUUUGCUUCUUUGCAUGUUGGCUGUUCCUGUGGAUGCCACACAGGAUCUUGCAGAUGCACCUUACAUUCCCCCAGCAUUUGUGCACCAGUACUAUGAUAAAGGCUGGGCUGUACAGGACCCAUCCAGAGGGUCCGGAGGGUGGUCACAGGGCAUCAUUAGGCAGCUGUCCCCAACUUACAGCUGCCAAUUU